CCCCGAAAAAAUCGGAGGUGUCACCUGCCCAAUGAUCUAUUACUAAAUCAAUCUAAUAAAUUGUUAAAUAGAUUUAAAGGACGCGGUAUCUUGACCGUGAUAAUGUAGCAUAAUCAUUCGCCAUUUAAUUGAUGGAUAGUAUGAAUGGUAUAACGAAUACAACACUGUCUCAAAUGGAAGAUUUAUGAAAUUAGAAUAAUAGUAAAGAUACUAUUUAAUACUGUAAGACGAGAAGACCCUAUAGAGCUUAACUAUAGUUUUCUAAAAUGUAAGAACUUGUUCUUAAUUUAGAAAAUUAGGUAGUUUAGUUGGGGCGACUUCUUUCUAAAUAUAACGAAAGUAAACAAAGUUAAUUAAAUAACUUACUGUAUAAAUAAUACUUUUAACAGUUAUAAAAAUAGGUAAUAAUGACCCGUUACAAUAACAAAACAAAGUAACGAUCAAUAAAUAAAAGCUACCUUAGGGAUAACAGGGUAAUCUUGUUUUAGAGAUCUUAUCGAAUACAAGGUUUGCCACCUCUAUGUUGAAUUAAGACAUCCUAAAAGUGCAGCAGCUUUUAAGGGUAGGUCUGUUCGACCUAUAAAGU
Molecule: ribosomal RNA, 586 nt
Filed under: Anthoathecata sp. 2 ST-2021
Lineage: Eukaryota; Metazoa; Cnidaria; Hydrozoa; Anthoathecata
Description: partial 16S ribosomal RNA
Rfam family: Bacterial large subunit ribosomal RNA
Source: RNAcentral